Phrynosoma platyrhinos (Desert horned lizard) is the source of this 72-nucleotide non-coding RNA. The record is from the annotation of a GenBank genome assembly. Lineage: Eukaryota; Metazoa; Chordata; Lepidosauria; Squamata; Phrynosomatidae.
AUCAGUGUGGCAUAGUGGUGUGAGUGCUGGACUACAACUCUGGAGACCUGGAUUCAAUUCCCAGCUUGGCCA